AGUGAACGCUGGCGGUAGGCCUAACACAUGCAAGUCGAACGGCAGCACAGUAAGAGCUUGCUCUUACGGGUGGCGAGUGGCGGACGGGUGAGGAAUACAUCGGAAUCUACUUUUUCGUGGGGGAUAACGUAGGGAAACUUACGCUAAUACCGCAUACGACCUACGGGUGAAAGCAGGGGAUCUUCGGACCUUGCGCGAUUGAAUGAGCCGAUGUCGGAUUAGCUAGUUGGCGGGGUAAAGGCCCACCAAGGCGACGAUCCGUAGCUGGUCUGAGAGGAUGAGCAGACAAAGUGGAACUGAGACACGGACCAGACUCCUACGGGAGGCAGCAGUGGGGAAUAUUGGAAAAUGGGCGGAAGAUUAAUCAAGCCAGAACGCGGGGGUGAAGAAGGACUUCGAGUUGUAAAGCCGUUUUGGGGGGAAAGAAAAGCAGGAGGUUAAUAACCCGCUGUUCUGAAGGUACCAAAAGAAUAAGCACCGGCUAACUUCGU
RNAcentral lists this ribosomal RNA (491 nucleotides) under uncultured bacterium. RNAcentral's name for it is "partial 16S ribosomal RNA". It matches the Rfam family "Bacterial small subunit ribosomal RNA", at positions 29 to 506 of the family's 1533-position model. The record is from RNAcentral.